GGUUAGUAGGCUGUAGAAAAACCCAAUUGAAAUCAAUUGAUAAGCAGUAAGUAAAACACUUGAAACCUAAAAGAAAAGAUAAAGAGAGAGCAUAUUCAUCUUUGAGCCCUUAUCACACUAAUUAUAAGGCCAUUUUUCAGUUCUCUUUCUUUUUCCACCUUCAGAAAAAUAAUAGAAACAAAUAAGACAGCGUCUGUCAGACUCAAAUCUAACUAAAUCACAUUCUAAUAUUCUUAGCCAACAUUCGGUCUUGUAUUGCAUGCCUAAUUCUCGUACCACAUUCAUUUUGCUUUUAGCAUUCAAUGUAGUUGUUCAAGGCAUCUACCACCUGACCCAAACACCAAGGGCAGAGUACAUAACUUUCCACUAGUGGCAAGUAAAUGAGCUUGAGAACCUUAACUAGAACAAAAAAUAAAAAAUCAACUCAACUCAACCCAACUCAACU
RNAcentral lists this unclassified non-coding RNA (445 nucleotides) under Hevea brasiliensis (rubber tree). Lineage: Eukaryota; Viridiplantae; Streptophyta; Magnoliopsida; Malpighiales; Euphorbiaceae. The record is from RNAcentral.